RNAcentral lists this ribosomal RNA (423 nucleotides) under uncultured bacterium. RNAcentral's name for it is "bacterial SSU rRNA". It matches the Rfam family "Bacterial small subunit ribosomal RNA", at positions 355 to 771 of the family's 1533-position model. The record is from RNAcentral.
UGGGGAAUUGUUCGCAAUGGGCGCAAGCCUGACGACGCAACGCCGCGUGGAGGAUGACGGUCUUCGGAUUGUAAACUCCUGUUGAUCGGGACGAAAAGCUCCAACCCAAUACGUUGGAGACUGACGGUACCGGUUGAGGAAGCCACGGCUAACUCUGUGCCAGCAGCCGCGGUAAUACAGAGGUGGCAAGCGUUGUUCGGAAUUACUGGGCGUAAAGGGCGCGUAGGCGGCCUCCUAAGUCGGACGUGAAAGCCCCAGGCUUAACCUGGGAACUGCGUCCGAUACUGGGAGGCUUGGAUUCGGGAGAGGGAUGUGGAAUUCCAGGUGUAGCGGUGAAAUGCGUAGAUAUCUGGAGGAACACCGGUGGCGAAGGCGGCAUCCUGGACCGAGAUCGACGCUGAGGCGCGAAAGCUAGGGGAGCAG